UACGUAGGUGGCGAGCGUUGUCCGGAUUUAUUGGGCGUAAAGCGCGCGCAGGCGGUCUGUUAAGUUCGGUGUGAAAGCUCCCGGCUCAACUGGGAGAGGCCACGGGAGACUGGCAGACUGGAGGCAGGCAGAGGCCGGUGGAAUUCCCGGUGUAGUGGUGAAAUGCGUAGAGAUCGGGAGGAACACCAGUGGCGAAAGCGGCCGGCUGGGCCUGAACUGACGCUGAGGCGCGAAAGCGUGGGGAGCGAAC
This 250-nucleotide ribosomal RNA is filed under the name uncultured bacterium. RNAcentral describes it as "partial 16S ribosomal RNA". It matches the Rfam family "Bacterial small subunit ribosomal RNA", at positions 524 to 773 of the family's 1533-position model. The record is from RNAcentral.